GCAUAUCUAUAAGCGGAGGAAAAGAAACCAACAGGGAUUGCCUCAGUAACGGCGAGUGAAGCGGCAACAGCUCAAAUUUGAAAUCUGGCUCUUUCAGGGUCCGAGUUGUAAUUUGUAGAGGAUGCUUCGGGCGUGGCGCGGGUCUAAGUUCCUUGGAACAGGACGUCAUAGAGGGUGAGAAUCCCGUAUGCGACCCAUCGCCUCCGUCCAUGUGAAGCUCCUUCGACGAGUCGAGUUGUUUGGGAAUGCAGCUCAAAAUGGGUGGUAAAUUUCAUCUAAAGCUAAAUAUUGGCCAGAGACCGAUAGCGCACAAGUAGAGUGAUCGAAAGAUGAAAAGCACUUUGGAAAGAGAGUUAAAAAGUACGUGAAAUUGUUGAAAGGGAAGCGCUUGCAACCAGACUUGCUCGCGGUUGCUCAGCCGGUGUUCUCACCGGUGCACUCUUCCGCGAUCAGGCCAGCAUCGGUUUGGGCGGCUGGAUAAAGGCUUCGGGAAUGUAGCUCCUCUCGGGGAGUGUUAUAGCCCGGGGUGCAAUGCAGCCUGCCCGGACCGAGGACCGCGCUUCGGCUAGGAUGCUGGCGUAAUGGUUGUAAGCGACCCGUCUUGAAACACGGACCAAGGAGUCUAACAUCUAUGCGAGUGUUUGGGUGUCAAACCCAUGCGCGUAAUGAAAGUGAACGGAGGUGGGAACCCUUAAGGGUGCACCAUCGACCGAUCCUGAUGUCUUCGGAUGGAUUUGAGUAAGAGCAUAGCUGUUGGGACCCGAAAGAUGGUGAACUAUGCCUGAAUAGGGUGAAGCCAGAGGAAACUCUGGUGGAGGCUCGCAGCGGUUCUGACGUGCAAAUCGAUCGUCAAAUUUGGGUAUAGGGGCGAAAGACUAAUCGAACCAUCUAGUAGCGUGAGAUACCUGACGAGUU
RNAcentral lists this ribosomal RNA (915 nucleotides) under Sarea difformis. RNAcentral describes it as "LSU rRNA". It matches the Rfam family "Eukaryotic large subunit ribosomal RNA", at positions 38 to 970 of the family's 3401-position model. Lineage: Eukaryota; Fungi; Ascomycota; Sareomycetes; Sareales; Zythiaceae. The record is from RNAcentral.